UUACAAUUGUUAUAUACAAAGUCAAUAUGAGAUGAUAUAUACAAACGGUAAUAUAAUACAGAAUACAAUUAAAGUUCCUAUAUUAUAGCUACUUUCAUAUAUACAGCUAAAAAUAUAUUUGAAGUCUGUUGCGGAAAAGCGUCUGGUUGAAAAAGAGUGUGAUGUUUCCCAGCACAAAAAGAACGUGCAUAGGGAAUUGUGGGAUGUUAUGAUGGCCAUGUUAAUGUUAGAGAAUUGGUAUAUAAGCUCUUGUGAAAUAUUUGUGGAUAGAGGGUGUGUUCGGUUAGACAAUAUAAUGGACAGGUAUAGGUAUAUAUCAUGAAUGUAUUUAGAUUUUAUAUUGUGUAGAUGGAUUGUAUUGUUGUUGAUUUUGAAUUCUUUGGUGAGAUAAUGUUGUUUAUAUGUGUAGUAAUGAAACAUUUAUAGAAUUUUAAUUUGGGGCAAUUCAGAAAUAAAUGAUGGUAAGAUUCAGUUGCUCGGUUACAAUAGUGGCAUUUAUAGUUGAUAGUAUAUAUAUUUCUGUAUAGCAUAAUAUCUUUUGUUAGUACUGCAUUAUUGAUGAUUGUAUACAUGAAAUCCUUUUCUUUUUCAGAUAAGGAGGAGCAUUUAUAGAGAUUUGUCCAGACUUUUGAAAAGUCAACAUGAGGAUAGGAGUAGUGUGAUGGUUUUCCAACAGAAAGGAUUUCAGUUUUAUCAUGGUUUAGUUUGGAGCCAGAUAUAGAGCCAAAUGUUUUGAAUUGUUCGAGGAGAGUGCUGUAUGAAGAAAGUCUAGAUAUUAUAGCAGAACAGUCAUCUGCAUGCUGAAAUAACUUAAUCUCUGAAGGGUGGUUAGGGAUCCUGAUGCCUUAUAUGAGGAUGUUUUUGUUUAUGUAUGAAGCAAGGGGGUUGAUACACAAUGAGUAUAGAAUCAUGGAUAGUGGACAUCCUUGACGAAUCGAUCGGUUAAUUUUAAUAUUUUGGGAAAAGGAUCCAUUUACUUGGACUUUACUAAUCAAGUUUUUAAACAAUAUUGUAACCCAGUUAAGGAUGUAAUUUGGGAAAUUAAUAUGUUUAAGUAGAUUUAUGAUAUAGUUGUGUUCAAUGCGAUCGAAGGCUUUUUCUUGGUCAAAUGAUAAUAUAUAGGCACUGGACUCAUUUGUGUUUAUAUAAUUUAGUAUUGUAUCUAUUGAAUAUAGGUUAUCAAAAAUGCUUUUAUUUGGUCCAGCUCCUGUUUGUGUAUUAGAGAUUAAUUUGUUAAUAACAGAAUUUAUUCUUGUGCUUAGAAUUUUUGUUAUGAUUUUAUAGUCCACACAUAACAGGCUUAUCGGUCUAUAGUUCUUGAGUAAUCGAUGGUCGCCUUUAUUCUUGUAGUUUAUUGUUAUGAUACCAGUUCUCAUUGUGUUAGAUAAUUCCCCCUGUAGAUAGAUGUUAUUUAAUACUUCUGUUAAAUCGUUUCCUAUAAUGUCAAAUAAUUUUAUGUAGAAAUCUCCUGGAAUACCAUCUAUACCCGGGCUACGGUUUGUUCUAAAUUUUUGUAACUCCUUAAGGACUUCAUCUCUAGAUAUAAAAUGUGAUAUUGAAUCUCUUUCCGUGUUUGUUAGUGUGUUUAUGUCACUGUUUUCGAUAUAGGACUUCAUUAAGUUAUCAUUAAUAUUUUGAGAAGUAUAUAGUUGUUGGUAGAAUUGGUGAAUUGUGUGUAAUAUAUCUUGUUUAUUGUCACAGAUUGUAUUAUUUUGAUUGAUCAGUUGUUUAAUUUGUUUUUUUGCACCCUUUUUAACUUCUGCUAAUUUAUAUAUUUUAGAAUUAGUAGAUACAUCAAUUUGGGGUAUUUCUAAUUUUGAACGUAUAACGUAGCCUUGUUUGGUAUUAUAUUCUAUAAGCUCAAUUUUUGAUUUAAUCUCGUUUAUAGAGUUAUUCUUACUAGGUAUUUCAUUUUCUAGGGAUUCCAGUUGUUGAUAAAGGUUACUGAGGAUAUGUUUGUUCUCAACUGCUAAGGCUUGACAGUAAUUUUGUGUAAUAUUUCUAAUAGCGGCUUUACCUUUUUCCCACCAUUGUAUGUUGUCAAUGAUUUGGUAUUUUUUGUUUUGCACGCUUGACCAGAAUGUUUUAAUUUGAUUUUGGUAGUUUUUAUCAUCUAGAAUAGAAUUGUUAAGUUUCCAAUAUCCUUUACCCCAUUUAAGAUUGUUAAGGUUGAUAUUUAGUUCCACUGCUUUAUAGUCAGUGAAAUGAAGUGGUAUAUGUUUAAUUGAUUUGAUGUAAGUUGCAUAUUUAUUACUUAUGUAAAUGCGGUCUAAUCUGCUAGCAUGACCUUGUGAGUUGUGAUAGGUAAAAAGGGGAGUGUCAGGGGAGAUAAUUCUGUAACCAUCACUUAUAUUAGGCCACACAAAAUAAAUGUCUUGUUUCUCGGGCAACUGACAGCUGAAACUGUAGGGAGGGAGGGCGGUUUCUUUUUUUUUUUUUACUCAUUGAUGGUGCAAAAUAAAAUUUGGCUAUUGCUGAAAAUUGUUGGGGCGGGAAGGCGGUCUUUCUUUUUUUUUUUUUUUAAAUGAGAAAGUCAUUACUUGUUUACGUUUUUGCUUUCCGUUAUAUUCAACUUUAUUGUACAUACUUAAAACAUAAACCCAAAAUCAAGUCUACUAAAACACUGAGACUGAACACUGACUGAAAGGAAAAUAAUUUUCCAUAUUUAAUUCACAUAAUUGAAAUUGGUUUAAAAUAAAAUUCCAUACGACUAUGUAAUAGCCCUCCAUAAAGACAACAAUAUUUUUAAAAACUAAGCCUCUUUCACCAGGUGUAUCAAAAAUAAUAAUCAUGGUAAACAGUAUUUAAAACUAAAUCUAGUAUCGCCGGUUUAUUUAUAAUUAUUUACCGAAUUCCAACCAAUGCAUGUCACACCGUGUCAUCGGUAUUGGAGAUUGCCGGAAAUACUGUUUCUUGGGAUAUUCGGUGUGUUUCUCAGGAUAUUCGGUGUUCUAUCCGGUGUUUAUAUUGAAUGACUAUUUAAAUCUAACUAACAACUGGUCAGUAAAACCACCAAAUCGGUAAUCCAAUUAUUAUUUUCCGGAUUAUCGAAACUACCGUAAAUGUGCUAAUAAUGACCCAGAUUCUAAGGUAUGCAUUAUGACGACUAUCGUCAUCGUAUCGUAUUCUUAGCUAUAAUUAAUUAACCUGUUCUACGGUUCAUUAUUUUAUCAAUAGGAUUUUCCAAACAAGGACCGACUGAAGCCGGCAAUAAUGAGCCGAUUACGAUCGAAUGAUUGAAAUAUUGUCGCCAAUGACUUUUAACACGAAUCAAAUUCUAGUUUAUCAGGGGAGGUAAUUAAUAUCACGUGAUACAAAAUGGAGGUUCUUUCGAUAUCAAUAAAAAAGGCAAAUCUGCCAAACUUCGCCAUUGUUCGGAUAAAUAAGACAGCAUGUUCAUCUGAAUCAGUUUUAAUACAUUUGAAUAGAUAUACAUGUAUGGCGGAUGUAGGUACAUGCGGGAUAUUUUUUUUACGACUUGCUUGUCGAUGUGCGGGCGGGCGUUACAUAUUUAUUUUUUUUCAUCAAGACUAAUAAAUAGACUGCACGCGCAACCAAUUUUGCGUGCGGGCGGUGCCCGAGAAACAAGUUAUUUUAUUUGUGUUGCCUUAAGUAGAUUUUGUAUAUCAAGUAGAUAUCUUAUAGCAUCUUUUGGAUGGUUAUUCAUGUUGCCAUGUUUGUUAUCUUUACUGUUUUCAAUAAGGUUAAAAUCACCAGUAAUAAUAUAAGAAUGUUGUGGAUUAUGAAUAGUUUUGACAUAUUCAAGAAGUCUCUUGUAGUAAUAAGUUUUCAAUUCUCUCUUGCAGGGACCAUAUAUAUUGAAUAUUUGAAUAGUUUCAUUAUUUGCAUUUACCUCCAGAUGUUGGAGCCUACCUGCUAAUUCAUCAGGUGUAUUGUAGAGUUUAUGUAUAAUGUUUGGGCUUAAUAAUAGGGCAAUGCCAAUCUUUGUUUCAUUAUAUGCAGUGUAUAAGUUAUAGCCAGUUUCGUUUUCAACAUUUUUUAUUUGAUGGACAUUGGAUUUUAGGAUUUCUUGUAUACAAACAAUAUCUAGUUUGUUAAAUAUAUUGCUAAUUUGUUUAAUCGUUUGAAGAUUUCCUUGUAGAGUGUUUAUGGAGUAAAUUAACAUAAUAAUUAGGUAAAUAAUAGGGAUAGAAGGCUUCAUUGUUAACUAAUAUGGUUUCAAGAACUUAUAACGUCUUAAUUUGUUUGAUCUCUAAACUUCUGUUUCGGUAAGCGGGGAUUCCGCUCGCGCCCUUUUAUCAUCUAUUUCUGUUUCGGAUAAACUAUCAAGGCUUCUUUCCCUUUUACUUACUGUGUCACACUUAGUGACUGUAGAGAUAUUUAACAAUGAGACAUCAGUGUCAUAGUUAAGAUUUGACUGCGAUGUUUCAGGGAUAUCAUGGGAUGAGUUGUCAAUGAUACUGUUAUCCUCUAAAUAACUUUGACCCACUGAGGAUCCUGUGUUAAUGGGGGUGGAAGGAACAUGACCACUAGAUGUAUCAAUAAUAGACUUAUUAACAUCAUUGAUAAAAUGGCUAUCAGGGCUGAGGAUAACAUUUGUUGUAUCGGUAGUGAUAGGAAUGUCAUUGUUGACUACUGUUGUUUUUAUGGAGUCUAGAGUAGCUAAGUCCUGGUUUAGACUUCCUGGGUUUGCGGGUUUGACUUGACCAGAAUUAAAGACAUUUGUUUUUGUCGUAUUAUUUUUUGAGGGGAUAUUAUUGACACCAGGGUUAUUGUCUUCACUAGGGUCAUAACCUAAGACAUGGUUAUUGAUAUUUAGGUGCUCAUGAUUAGGUUCAUAAAUAUUAUCAAUAUUAUGGGUGGGUUCAGUGGCUAUAUCAGCAGAUACUAUAGCACUGUUUGGACUAGUUUGGGGUUGAAGGGCAGGAAAUUCCAUUUGAUCAUCAAGAUUUGGUGCAUUGGGGUUGGUUGGCAGACUAUAUCUUUUGUCUGGUUUUGUACAUUCACGGCCAAGAUGCCCAUGCAGACCGCAGUUGUAACAAAUUUUGCCCCUAGUUUGGCCCUCAUAUUUAAUGGAUACAUGUAUCCCUUUUAUAUAAAUGUGCGAUGGAAUAGGUUUAAACAUUUUUUUUACAUAAACAAUUCUAACACCGCUUUCGACCGUUGGAAAUGGUUUGAAGCAGGAUCUGUCACAUUUAACCAAUUCACAAAGUUCAUCAAUUUGUUAACCAGAUAUUUAUUGUCCAUUUCGAAUGGUAGGCCGAAGACCGCAACAGGAAUUGAAUCAACAGGGUAGUCCCAUGUGAUGUUUCCAGCCGACUCUACUGUAUAAUUGCAAUUCUUCACUGAGAAGGUCUUGAGAUUCUCAAGAAAUAACUCCUUGGCAAGUAUAUCCUUAAGAGGUAGGCAAAACUUGCCCUUACCUACAUUUUGGAGACAUUUUAUAUUGCUGAUGUCAAAAUCCUUAGCUUGUAGGAAAUAUAAUAUGUCUACUGAAGCAAUACCAGUGGAGGGGUUAUCAUCGUCGGGAAUCAGUUCAACAGUAUUGUCACGAAUUAUACGGUUUGUUACACUCAUCUCCCCAUUAGGGUUAAUUGUCAUCUUUGUCGAUUUUAUGUAACUCAUUGUCAAUAAAACACUUCAACAGCU
Patella vulgata (common limpet) is the source of this 5610-nucleotide long non-coding RNA. RefSeq lists it as uncharacterized. Lineage: Eukaryota; Metazoa; Mollusca; Gastropoda; Patellidae. The record is from RefSeq and is a predicted model, not a curated record. The transcript is spliced from 3 exons.